Molecule: non-coding RNA, 722 nt
Organism: Pelobates cultripes (western spadefoot toad)
Lineage: Eukaryota; Metazoa; Chordata; Amphibia; Anura; Pelobatidae
Source: the annotation of a GenBank genome assembly
CCGCAGGUUUCGGCACUUUGGAGCAAAAUAAUCGAACUAACGAGCACUAAACCUCACUCCUCGCUCCACCAUGUCACAGAGGCAAAAGGGCAAGGCCGCCAAAUCGGACCGGGAGUCCUUCUUUCUGGCGAGAACCGCCGAAACAAAAGCGCGGGACGGACGCGGCCUGAUCAAAGAUGGCGCCGCGCGAGACUCACGAGACGGCUCAAUGUCACCGCCAGCCUCACCAUCCUCAGCGGCUGACGACGGACCCCUCACGGUCGGCACCAUGCGGCUUAUGUUUGCAGAGCUCUCAGACAAGCUGCAGAAUAACAUGAAAACCCAAUUGCAAACCUUGGCAGCAGACCUCCACAAGGAUAUCACUGAGGUAGGCCAGCGCACCUCCCACUUAGAACAUAAGAUGGAUGAAUUUGCAGAGGCCCAUAACAGCCUAGCUGACAGGGUGCAGGGCUUUGAGAACUCCCUCACUAGCUACCAACUUAAACUAGCAGACCUAGAAGACAGAUCCAGGAGAAACAAUAUACGUAUAAGGGGUAUUCCAGAGACAGUUGCCCCAAAAGAAUUAGAAAACUACCUGACAAAUCUGUUCCAAGCCCUCACUCCCACAAUACACCCGGAUCAGCUUAUAGUGGAUCGGGCACACAGGCUAAGACGCCCAAAGCACCUCCCUCCAACCACAGAGAGAGAUGUCAUUGCCAGAGUGCACUUCUACCAUACCAAAG